AAAAUACGGGAGGCAGCAGUGAGGAAUAUUGGUCAAUGGUCGAGAGACUGAACCAGCCAAGUCGCGUGAAGGAAGACGGCUCUAUGAGUUGUAAACUUCUUUUGUACAGGAGUAAAGUGAGACACGCGUGUUUUAUUGCAAGUACUGUACGAAUAAGCAUCGGCUAACUCCGUGCCAGCAGCCGCGGUAAUUUUU
RNAcentral lists this ribosomal RNA (195 nucleotides) under uncultured bacterium. RNAcentral describes it as "partial 16S ribosomal RNA". It matches the Rfam family "Bacterial small subunit ribosomal RNA", at positions 333 to 528 of the family's 1533-position model. The record is from RNAcentral.